UGGGGAAUAUUGCACAAUGGGCGAAAGCCUGAUGCAGCAACGCCGCGUGAGUGAUGAAGGCCUUCGGGUUGUAAAAGCUCUGUCUUUUGGGACGAUAAUGACGGUACCAAAGGAGGAAGCCACGGCUAACUACGUGCCAGCAGCCGCGGUAAUACGUAGGUGGCAAGCGUUGUCCGGAUUUUACUGGGCGUAAAGGAUGCGUAGGCGGAUUUUUAAGUGAGAUGUGAAAACCCUAAGCUUAACUUGGGGACUGCAUUUCAUACUGGAAAUCUAGAGUGCGGGAGAGGAGAAUGGAAUUCCUAGUGUAGCGGUGAAAUGCGUAGAGAUUAGGAAGAACACCAGUGGCGAAGGCGAUUCUCUGGACCGUAACUGACGCUGAGGCAUGAAAGCGUGGGUAGCAAACAGGAUUAGAGUACCCUGGUAGUCCACGCCGUAAACGAUGAGUACUAGGUGUAGGAGGUAUCGACCCCUUCUGUGCCGCAGUUAACACAAUAAGUACUCCGCCUGGGAAGUACGAUCGCAAGAUUAAAAGCUCAAA
RNAcentral lists this ribosomal RNA (538 nucleotides) under uncultured bacterium. RNAcentral describes it as "partial 16S ribosomal RNA". It matches the Rfam family "Bacterial small subunit ribosomal RNA", at positions 355 to 905 of the family's 1533-position model. The record is from RNAcentral.